GACGAACGCUGGCGGCGUGCUUAACACAUGCAAGUCGAACGGAAAGGCCCCUUUGGGGGUACUCGAGUGGCGAACGGGUGAGUAACACGUGAGUAACCUGCCCUUGACUUCGGGAUAACUUCAGGAAACUGGGGCUAAUACCGGAUAGGAAUCCUUGCUGCAUGGUGGGGGUUGGAAAGCUUCGGCGGUUUUGGAUGGACUCGCGGCUUAUCAGCUUGUUGGGGGGGUAGUGGCUUACCAAGGCUUUGACGGGUAGCCGGCCUGAGAGGGCGACCGGCCACAUUGGGACUGAGGUACGGCCCAGACACCUACGGGAGGCAGCAGGGGGGAAGAUUGCACAAUGGGCGGCAGCCUGAUGCAGCAACGCCGCGGGCGGGAGGACGGCCUUCGGGUUGUAAACCGCUUGCAGCAGGGGCGAAGCUUGUGGUGACGGUACCUGCAGAAGAAGCACCGGCUAACUACGUG
RNAcentral lists this ribosomal RNA (465 nucleotides) under uncultured bacterium. RNAcentral describes it as "partial 16S ribosomal RNA". It matches the Rfam family "Bacterial small subunit ribosomal RNA", at positions 28 to 507 of the family's 1533-position model. The record is from RNAcentral.